UCAAAAACGUCAACACUAUUCACUUUCGCAGCAUAAUUUUUCUCUGCAUUCCAUAAGUAAUUUUAACUUGAAAAUUCAAGGCUGAAUAUACUUGCAUACAUAUCAGAACUAAAAAGUUAAUUUGGUGGUACCAGGACGAUUCUGGAUUAAUUUUGUAGUAUAAAAUUUGGACAAGUGUAGUGAGAGAUAUAGUUAUACUGAUAGGUGCAACAAAAACAUAACUGUUGCAGCAGCACCAGCCAUUCUAUUUAGGCGGUACCAACAUUACAAUGGCCUACCUUCAACAUAAUGGCGACCUGAUAAAUUUGAAUGUUGGAGGACAGCGAUUUUCUACAUCACGUCAAACGCUGACGUGGAUACCAGAUACAUUUUUCACAGCGCUGCUAAGUGGACGCAUAUCUAGUUUACGCGAUGAAACUGGUGCUAUAUUCAUAGAUCGUGAUCCUUCGUUGUUCUCCAUCAUUCUGAACUAUUUGCGAACCAAGGAUAUUGACAUCAAAAAUUGCGAAAUCCGAGCAUUACGACAUGAAUCGGAAUACUAUGGCAUUACUCCGCUGGUCAAGCGGUUAGCGCUUUGUGAAGACUUGAAUCAUUCAUCUUGUGGCGAUGUACUCUUUUAUGGUUAUUUGCCAGCACCAAUGAUGCCAUCAAAUGAUUCAAUUCAUACGGCAGUAACAUCGACAGGUCCAGUCGUCCUGGAAGACCGUUCUGGUGGUGUUAGCGAUUUACCUUCUUAUAGAUCUUCGAACGGCUCUUAUAAUAUACCAGCCACAUCAGGCCAGAUGGAACCUUGCUUGCCGUCAACUUCAAGUGGCGUAAUGUCCACUUCAAUUGCUAAUGCUCGUCCCGGUUCGAUGGUUCGUGUUCCAGAAACAGCAUCUACAUCGAGUAGGCAUUCGUCAUCGCAUUCACGGAACUCUUCUUGGGACUUGCGUUGCGCACGACCAAACGUCAAUGUCGGCGGGGAAGUUCGAAAUUGGGGUCCUGCAGUUCCAUCGUCUACCCACUCGCGUACCGCAUCUCUUGAUUAUAUGCGUCAUUCUAGAAAUUCAUCUGCCGACCUCAAUAAGAUAAUACGGAAUGAUGUAGGCCUAGUAUUCAGCCCAACAUUGACAUCAAACUGGGUCGAUCCACUACGUGUUCAAAUAAUUAAGGCUCAUCAAAACUGGAUUGCAGUAGCAUAUGCCCAUUUCGUAACUUGUUAUCGUGUUAAGGACUCCAGUGGGUGGCAAAUAGUGUUCACUUCGCCUCAUAUCGAUGCAACCAUCGAACGUAUGGCGGUCAACUCAAAAGUGAAUACAUCCACAGCUGAACCUACUCCGAGCAAGAUGGUAGCCAUAUCCUAUGGUAGUCAAAUACGACUUUGGAGCAUACAUGAGGGAGGCAAUAAAACCGAUGUCGGAACUUUCAAUUUAAAUGUACGAGUUGAGUAUUUAUUUUUCAUCGGCAGCCAAUUAGUUGCUUUGUCAUCGUCUGGUAAAAUCGGCGUUUGGCACGCGAUGACACAACAUUGGCAAAUUCAGGAUUUGGUUCCAGUGUUGUCUUUUGACUCGGCUGGAUCAUUUUUACUUCUUGGCUGUAACAACGGUUCAAUUUAUUAUAUAGAUAUGCAAAAGUUUCCACUUCGUAUGAAGGAUAAUGACUUAUUGGUGACUGAGCUGUAUAAGGAUCCAAACUUGGACCCAAUUACAGCAAUUUCCGUAUAUCUUACUCCAAAAACGUCCAGUAUAAGUGGAAAUUGGAUAGAGAUAGCAUAUGGAACGAAAUCGGGUGCAGUGCGUAUUAUUGUACAACACCCGGAGACUGCUGGUCACGGUCCACAUUUAUUUGAAACCUUUACUGUACAUCAAAGUCCCGUAACUAAGGUUACCCUCUCGGAGAAAUAUCUAAUAUCCGUUUGCAGUGAAUAUCAUCACGUACGCACUUGGUCCUUAACACGUUUCCGUGGCAUGCUGUCUACACAACCUGGAUCGACACCAGAGGCCUCCUUUAAAAUUGUAUCACUCGAAGCUACCGAUUCACAUUACAGUUAUGCAGCUGGCAACGAUUUUGGUCCCUACGGCGACUAUGAUGAACAGAUCUUUGUACAAAAAGUUGUACCCGAAACGGAUCAACUUUAUGUACGUUUAGCUUCAAAUGGUGAUCGUGUUUGCAUUAUAAAAUCGGUGGAUAGUUCAACUAUCACUUCUUUCUGUGUGCACGAGUGUGAAGUCUCGUCUCGUAUGGGGUCACGAUUCAUUUUGACAGGGCACUGUAAUGGUGUUAUUCAAAUGUGGGAUCUAACAACAGCGCUGGCGUUAUUUUCAAAAGGUGAACCACAGCAGAAUACCUUUGGCGGACCAGGCACACACGAGCUUCUCCGCCUACUUGACCAAUGUGAAAUCAGCAAUAGCCUCAGCUCAACACCUUGUAUGUCACCGUGUCUAUCGGUGGUUGGAGGCAUGGCAAACGCCGCAAUAGCUCGUAUGAAGGCGAGCAAUGUAGCUCUGCUUAAUCAGCUCCACAAUCAGCAUCAACAAACACCACUACAACAACAGCCCCAAGCUCAAUCACAGCAACCUACCUGCAAUUUGACUGCGCAACUUUUGCCGCUACAGCAUCAAACACAGCAACAACAACAGUCACAACAAAUACAGCCACAGCAACAGCAAUAUUCUCCUCCACUACAGCCAGUAUCGCAAGGCAUUAGUAACACCGCUGAUUGAAAUGGGGAAGACGCGUGUAUUUUGCCAGCAGUGGCUAUUGCUGUUGCACAGGUAGCGUUGGUUGGACGUGCCACAUCCUUCCUAAUGUUUAUACUAGUAAUAGACAGCAACUGGGCAACGACGUCGGAAAGGUGGAGAUACGCUAUAAAUUUGGGGCGCCUUUCCUCAAUAUUUUAAAAUGAUUAUAUUUAUAUUUUGUUGAAGUGAUUUUUAAAGGUGAUCAUUCAUAAAAUAUCCUUAGGCAAAUGCAUUCUAUUCGUUUACGAAGCUUUUGUCUGAAUAUGUAUAUCGAAAUAUACGCAUACAAUUACCAAAUUUUUAUAUAUGUUACUUUCUUACAUUUAAAUAUAAGCAUGCUCAUCAUAUACAAA
RNAcentral lists this unclassified non-coding RNA (3076 nucleotides) under Bactrocera latifrons. RNAcentral describes it as "sH3KBP1-binding protein 1, transcript variant X1". The record is from RNAcentral. Lineage: Eukaryota; Metazoa; Arthropoda; Insecta; Diptera; Tephritidae.